GGGCGGUUAGCUCAGCGGCUAGAGCGCCUGCCUUACACGCAGGAUGUCGGGGGUUCAAUCCCCUCACCGCCCACCA
This 76-nucleotide transfer RNA is filed under the name Acidobacteriota bacterium. RNAcentral's name for it is "tRNA-Val". It matches the Rfam family "tRNA". From Rfam's summary of the family: Transfer RNA (tRNA) molecules are approximately 80 nucleotides in length. Their secondary structure includes four short double-helical elements and three loops (D, anti-codon, and T loops). Lineage: Bacteria; Pseudomonadati; Acidobacteriota. The record is from RNAcentral. RNAcentral also lists the same sequence under 1 other name.